AUUGAACGCUGGCGGCAGGCCUAACACAUGCAAGUCGAGCGGAUGAAGGGAGCUUGCUCCUGGAUUCAGCGGCGGACGGGUGAGUAAUGCCUAGGAAUCUGCCUGGUAGUGGGGGAUAACGUCCGGAAACGGGCGCUAAUACCGCAUACGUCCUGAGGGAGAAAGUGGGGGAUCUUCGGACCUCACGCUAUCAGAUGAGCCUAGGUCGGAUUAGCUAGUUGGUGGGGUAAAGGCCUACCAAGGCGACGAUCCGUAACUGGUCUGAGAGGAUGAUCAGUCACACUGGAACUGAGACACGGUCCCGACUCCUACGGGAGGCAGCAGUGGGGAAUAUUGGACAAAGGGCGAAAGCCUGAUCCAGCCAUGCCGCGUGUGUGAAGAAGGUCUUCGGAUUGUAAAGCACUUUAAGUUGGGAGGAAGGGCAGUAAGUUAAUACCUUGCUGUUUUGACGUUACCAACAGAAUAAGCACCGGCUAACUUCGUG
This 484-nucleotide ribosomal RNA is filed under the name uncultured bacterium. Its description in RNAcentral is "partial 16S ribosomal RNA". It matches the Rfam family "Bacterial small subunit ribosomal RNA", at positions 30 to 507 of the family's 1533-position model. The record is from RNAcentral.